GAUGAACGCGGCGGCGUGCCUAACACAUGCAAGUCGAACGGAGAUUAUUGACGGAAGUUUUCGGAUGGAAGACAGUAAUCUUAGUGGCGGACGGGUGAGUAACGCGUGGGUAACCUGCCCCGUACAGGGGGAUAGCGUCGGGAAACUGACGGUAAGACCGCAUAGGACCACAUAUUCGCAUGGAUAAGUGGUGAAAAGGGAAACCUGGUAUGGGAUGGACCCGCGUCCGAUUAGCCAGUUGGCAGGGUAAAGGCCUACCAAAGCUUCGAUCGGUAGCCGGACUGAGAGGUCGGACGGCCACAUUGGGACUGAGACACGGCCCAGACUCCUACGGGAGGCAGCAGUGGGGGAUAUUGCACAAUGGAGGAAACUCUGAUGCAGCGACGCCGCGUGAGUGAAGAAAGUGCUCCCGGCAUGUAAAAGCUCUUUCAGCCAGGGAAAG
Molecule: ribosomal RNA, 442 nt
Filed under: Catonella sp. oral taxon 451
Lineage: Bacteria; Bacillati; Bacillota; Clostridia; Lachnospirales; Lachnospiraceae
Description: bacterial SSU rRNA
Rfam family: Bacterial small subunit ribosomal RNA
Source: RNAcentral